RNAcentral lists this ribosomal RNA (435 nucleotides) under Draconarius kayasanensis. RNAcentral describes it as "partial 16S ribosomal RNA". It matches the Rfam family "Bacterial large subunit ribosomal RNA", at positions 1895 to 2624 of the family's 2925-position model. Lineage: Eukaryota; Metazoa; Arthropoda; Arachnida; Araneae; Agelenidae. The record is from RNAcentral.
UAUNGUAAAUCUGCUCAUGAAACCUAAAUAGCCGCAACCUUGUGCUAAGGUAGCAUAAUCAUUUGUCUUUUAAUUAAAGACUAGUACGAAGGAUUUAACAUUUAAACUACUAUUCAAUUCAUAUCAUAUAGAAAUUAUUUUAAAUAUAAAAAAAUAUUUAUUUAUAAAAAAGACGAUAAGACCCUAUUGAACUUUACUAAAGUUUAACUGGGGUAGUUAAUUAAACAUUAUUUUAAUUUUUUUAAAAAAAAAUCUAAUAUAAUUAAUAUAAUUAAGUUACCAUAGGGAUAACAGCGUAAUUAUUUUUUAAAGCUCUUAUAUUAAAAAUUGUUUGCGACCUCGAUGUUGAAUUAAUAAUCUAUUAAAUGCAAUAAUCUAAUAAGAAAGUCUGUUCGACUUUUAAUAAAUUACAUGAUCUGAGUCAAAANCCGGAGA